Molecule: ribosomal RNA, 296 nt
Filed under: Escherichia coli
Lineage: Bacteria; Pseudomonadati; Pseudomonadota; Gammaproteobacteria; Enterobacterales; Enterobacteriaceae
Also listed under: 1 other name
Description: partial 23S ribosomal RNA
Rfam family: Bacterial large subunit ribosomal RNA
Source: RNAcentral
CCGGUAAACGGCGGCCGUAACUAUAACGGUCCUAAGGUAGCGAAAUUCCUUGUCGGGUAAGUUCCGACCUGCACGAAUGGCGUAAUGAUGGCCAGGCUGUCUCCACCCGAGACUCAGUGAAAUUGAACUCGCUGUGAAGAUGCAGUGUACCCGCGGCAAGACGGAAAGACCCCGUGAACCUUUACUAUAGCUUGACACUGAACAUUGAGCCUUGAUGUGUAGGAUAGGUGGGAGGCUUUGAAGUGUGGACGCCAGUCUGCAUGGAGCCGACCUUGAAAUACCACCCUUUAAUGUUU